ACUCUUUUAGUAUUAACUAGUACAACUGACUUCCAAUCAGUAAGUUUCAGAAAUUAACUGAAAAAGAGUA
This 70-nucleotide transfer RNA is filed under the name Muscardinus avellanarius (hazel dormouse). Its description in RNAcentral is "tRNA-Gly". The record is from RNAcentral. Lineage: Eukaryota; Metazoa; Chordata; Mammalia; Rodentia; Gliridae.